CAAUAGCGUACAUUAAAGUUGUUGCAGUUAAAAAGCUCGUAGUUGGAUUUCUGGUGGGAGCGAUCGGUCUGGCGCUUAGCGCGAGUACUUGCAUCGUCUCCGGCCAUCCUUGGGGAGAGUCUGUCUGGCAUUAAGUUGUCGGGCAGAGGAUCCUCAUCGUUUACUGUGAAAAAAUUAGAGUGUUCAAAGCAGGCUUAUGCCGUUGAAUAUAUUAGCAUGGAAUAAUAAGAUAGGACUUUGGUACUAUUUUGUUGGUUUGCGCACCAAAGUAAUGAUUAAUAGGGACAGUUGGGGGUAUUCGUAUUCCGUUGUCAGAGGUGAAAUUCUUGGAUUUACGGAAGACGAACUACUGCGAAAGCAUUUACCAAGGAUGUUUUCAUUAA
RNAcentral lists this ribosomal RNA (383 nucleotides) under uncultured eukaryote. RNAcentral describes it as "partial 18S ribosomal RNA". It matches the Rfam family "Eukaryotic small subunit ribosomal RNA", at positions 592 to 976 of the family's 1831-position model. The record is from RNAcentral.